Long non-coding RNA from Arachis duranensis, 572 nucleotides. RefSeq lists it as uncharacterized. The transcript is spliced from 4 exons. NCBI's taxonomy places the organism in Eukaryota, Viridiplantae, Streptophyta, Magnoliopsida, Fabales, Fabaceae. The record is from RefSeq and is a predicted model, not a curated record.
GAUCAGGCACACCUCUUCUUCAUACCAAUCUCCUGUCAUAAGAUGCGUGGCAAGAUGCUUGGAAAUUCAUUUCAAAGGAAGCCUACAAUCUUGAGAAAUGGGGGUACUCCACCAGUGGUUAAACCAAAACGAAGACCAUCUUUACAAUAUGGUGAUAAGUGCCACCGUUCCUCGCGCAGCAUGUCUGUUAGUCCUACUCCUGAACGUGUUCGUGUCAGGGGCGGUCGCCAGCAUUUAACGCCAUAGCAUCCACUUUUGAGAAGCCUAAAGAUAGGAACCUUUCAACCCCACCUCCAAUUGUGAGAAAAGUGUAUCCAAAAUCAGGGACAGCAAACUUGAAUACUCUUUCUCUUGGUCUUGGAUCUAAGUCUUCAGCCAUAGCUCGGCUUACUUCUAGUUUUGAAAUGCCUUCAGCACGGGGAAAGUUGAUACCUCAGUCGCUUAGAGUGACUUCCAAUACACUCAAAUCAAACCCAAAAAGAAGUGAUAGUGAGGAUUCUAUGAGCAGCAGAUUAGAAUCUCUUACAGAGGAAGAUGCAAAAGAAGGUGAAGCUGACGAUGAUGAAGGACUC